This 492-nucleotide ribosomal RNA is filed under the name uncultured bacterium. RNAcentral's name for it is "partial 16S ribosomal RNA". It matches the Rfam family "Bacterial small subunit ribosomal RNA", at positions 29 to 507 of the family's 1533-position model. The record is from RNAcentral.
AGUGAACGCUGGCGGUAGGCCUAACACAUGCAAGUCGAACGGCAGCACAGUAAGGGCUUGCUCUUACGGGUGGCGAGUGGCGGACGGGUGAGGAAUACAUCGGAAUCUACUUUUUCGUGGGGGAUAACGUAGGGAAACUUACGCUAAUACCGCAUACGACCUACGGGUGAAAGCAGGGGAUCUUCGGACCUUGCGCGAUUGAAUGAGCCGAGGUCUGAUUAGCUAGUUGGCGGGGUAAAGGCCCACCAAGGCGACGAUCCGUAGCUGGUCUGAGAGGAUGAUCGGCCACACUGGAACUGAGACACGGUCCAGACUCCUACGGGAGGCGGCAGUGGGGAAUAUUGGACAAUGGGCGCAAGCCUGAUCCAGCCAUACCGCGUGGGUGAAGAAGGCCUUCGGGUUGUAAAGCCCUUUUGUUGGGAAAGAAAAGCAGCAGGUUAAUACCCCGCUGUUCUGACGGUACCCAAAGAAUAAGCACCGGCUAACUUCGUG